Long non-coding RNA from Eriocheir sinensis (Chinese mitten crab), 302 nucleotides. RefSeq lists it as uncharacterized. Lineage: Eukaryota; Metazoa; Arthropoda; Malacostraca; Decapoda; Varunidae. The transcript is spliced from 3 exons. The record is from RefSeq and is a predicted model, not a curated record.
AGGGGAGAGUACGUCAUGAGAACGGGCCAUGAGACGCAGCUCUUGAACCGCAUCAAAGCCACCAUGAAAGAACUCAACCCCAGACAAACUGAAAAGUGUUUGAGGCUACUGAAGGAGUGCUUUGGCUUCCGUGACCUCAUUACUAUAUUCGACAUCAACGCAGACGAGGAUCUUGAUCGCCACAUUCUUUAUGCAUUGCUCACAACCCACCAAGGGGAAGGUCAAGCGUCUCUGCUGGACCAGCUCGGACUUGCUCUGCUCUGGGACCGGCCUGAUAUAGCAGAGAAUUCCAUUUUUCCGGG